This 460-nucleotide ribosomal RNA is filed under the name uncultured bacterium. RNAcentral's name for it is "partial 16S ribosomal RNA". It matches the Rfam family "Bacterial small subunit ribosomal RNA", at positions 338 to 795 of the family's 1533-position model. The record is from RNAcentral.
CCUACGGGAGGCAGCAGUGAGGAAUAUUGGUCAAUGGGCGCGAGCCUGAACCAGCCAAGUAGCGUGAAGGAUGACUGCCCUACGGGUUGUAAACUUCUUUUAUAAAGGAAUAAAGUAAGCCACGUGUGCCUUUUUGUAUGUACUUUAUGAAUAAGCAUCGGCUAACUCCGUGCCAGCAGCCGCGGUAAUACGGAGGAUCCGAGCGUUAUCCGGAUUUAUUGGGUUUAAAGGGUGCGUAGAUGGGUUGUUAAGUCAGGUGUGAAAGUUGGGGGCUCAACCGUAAAAUUGCAAUUGAUACUGGCAGCCUUGAGUACAGUUGAGGUAUGCGGAAUUCGUGGUGUAGCGGUGAAAUGCUUAGAUAUCACGAAGAACUCCGAUUGCGAAGGCAGCUUACUAAACUGCCACUGACAUUGAUGCUCGAAAGUGUGGGUAUCAAACAGGAUUAGAUACCCUUGUAGUC